AUUCAGCUGAUGAGUCCCAAAUACGACGAAACGCGCUUCCUGGAU
RNAcentral lists this non-coding RNA (45 nucleotides) under Schistosoma mattheei. Lineage: Eukaryota; Metazoa; Platyhelminthes; Trematoda; Strigeidida; Schistosomatidae. The record is from RNAcentral.